GAUACUUGGUGUGAAUUGCAGAAUCCCGUGAACCAUCGAGUCUUUGAACGCAAGUUGCGCCCGAAGCCAUUAGGCCGAGGGCACGCCUGCCUGGGCGUCACGCAUCGCGUCGUCCCCCACCCCCGCGCGUGUCGCCGGGCGGUUGGGGGCGGAAAAUGGCCUCCC
RNAcentral lists this ribosomal RNA (165 nucleotides) under Dicerandra linearifolia var. linearifolia. RNAcentral's name for it is "5.8S ribosomal RNA". The stretch from base 1 to 100 matches the Rfam family "5.8S ribosomal RNA", at positions 57 to 154 of the family's 154-position model. From Rfam's summary of the family: 5.8S ribosomal RNA (5.8S rRNA) is a component of the large subunit of the eukaryotic ribosome. Lineage: Eukaryota; Viridiplantae; Streptophyta; Magnoliopsida; Lamiales; Lamiaceae. The record is from RNAcentral.